Bos taurus (domestic cattle) is the source of this 2085-nucleotide long non-coding RNA. NCBI's taxonomy places the organism in Eukaryota, Metazoa, Chordata, Mammalia, Artiodactyla, Bovidae. The record is from Ensembl.
GCAUGAAGGUCCUGAAUACAGAACAAAAUGUAUGAAUGGUACCGAAACUGAGAGAGGUGACUGCGUGGAGACAAGAACUGAGGGUCGUGUAGACCUGUGUAAGGGUUCAAGUCUGAGUGAACCAGAAGUUUCCAGAAGAGAAGCAGCUUCAUCUAAACCCUCCACAUCCCACCCUCACCCCUCUUCCACACUCCCCUAGCAAAGGAGAGAAAAAUCACUCUGGCUGUAUAGGUGGGAGGGCGAAAGCAGGGAGAUCCAUAGGAGAUCCGCGGAGUGCAGGCAAGAUGAUACUGGCUUUGAAGGGCGGCACAACAAAUAAUACCAUUUUGACCAAAACAGUAGUUUGAACUGACGGCACUUAAAGAGCACCAGGUGGCUGCCUAGGCGGUUGGCAGUCGGCUCCGCGGUGCCCUCUCCUCGGCCCGGCCUCCCGCCCCCACGCGCGCAUCCAUUUCCCAACGCCUCUCCCCUAGCUCUCUUCCGCGCUUUCAGGGAGCGGUCCCCACUUGUAGAAAGAGGGACGGCGGAGAGAAAACGAGGCAUCUUGAAACUCGCUGCCCCGAUGCCAGCCGACACAAAGGCCGGGCCGCAGCCACCCCGCAGGAUUGCCGGGUCCUCGCACCCGCACUUGGCGCCCUGGCGGCGAGCACACCGGUCUCUUCAAAGGGGCUUCCGACGAGUUCGGACGACCUCACCUUGGGCGUCUCAGUGUGGUGUUGCGGCAUUUCCAGAAAAAGUAAGGUCCCCGGCCGCUUGGUGGCGCGCACCCUUCGAUAGCUCAGCUGGUAGAGCGGAGGACUGUAGAUCUGACACGUGUGGUCAUCCUUAGGUCGCUGGUUCGAUUCCGGCUCGAAGGAGGUGCUGGUUGCUUUUGCUCCCCAGUGAAAAGCAGGGGAGGUUCUCACCAGGUCCCCCGAUCUGAAGCCUCCACCUUCAGUGCCUCCCACCACGUGGCCUACUUCGAAGCUUCUGCCAAACUGCGCCUCAACGUGGAUGAGGCCUUCGAGCAGCUGGUGCGGGCCGUCCAGUGAGCUGAGCCCCCUUCCCGUGAUCCUCCUCGUCCCCUAAGCCCCUGCUCUACCCAAACUCACCAGCCGAUGGCAGUGUGGCUCUCUGAAACCUCAGGGGCCCGCAGCUGCCGUCCCCGACCCCUGAGGCCUUUUUUGGUUCUGGUUCUGAUUGAAGGCAGGAAGAGAAGGGGAAGGCAGAGGAUGAGAUGGUUGGAUGGCAUCACCGGCUCAAUGGACAUGAGUUUGAGUAGGCUCCAGGAGUUGGUGAAAGACAGGGAAGCCUGGCGUGCUGCAGUCCAUGGGGUCGCAAAGAGUCUGUCACUACUGAGCGCCUGAACUGAACUGAACUGAACUGCCUCUCAAACUGGAGACUGUUUCUGCUUCCUCUCCUGGCAAACUCCCGUGGUCACACCCCCACCCCCACCCCCUGUUGGUCUCAGCCCUUCUAAUCGUCCCACUGCUAAUAUGCGCCGACCUGGAGUCUUUGGAGUCUGCCCGGGCCUAGAGGGCUGUGCCGCUGCAGUCUGACCGGUGCCCUUCCAGAAAGGUCCGUUGCUCUGCGGAUGCAGAGACCCCAGCCUCGAAUGAUACCAUCUGUAAAGACCAGCAGAUGGGGCCAAAAAAAAGAACCUUAGGCUUUUGUUGGAUCUAUUCCCGAAGGGAUGUGGAGGUGUAGAAUCCAUGGGGACCUGGGUUUGGGGAAGUGGGAAGGGGUGUGGGUUUUGGUUACCAGCAUGGCCAACUAUUCUGGUCCGGGUGUCACAGAAACUGGCAGGGAUGCUCUGAGGCACUGUCCCCCAACCUCAAAGGGGCAGAGGUGCCCGCUGCCUGGUCAGGGAGUGGCAACACACUGGGCUGAGGGAAGGCCACUUCACUGUGGCUUGCUGUGCCUCUGGAGGACUUUUGCUGGGUGGGCUAGCGAUCUUGGGUGGUGGACACACACCAGUGGGAUCUGAAAUGUUUGUAGAGUCCAACCUGGACACCCGUGCCCUCUGCCCCUCCCUCUGGACUCCAGCCCCGUCUCCAGGAAGUCCACAGAACCUUGACCUCUUCCAGGAAGCAGCCCCUUAUGUCC